RNAcentral lists this unclassified non-coding RNA (756 nucleotides) under Senecio brasiliensis. RNAcentral's name for it is "partial trnC-petN intergenic spacer". Lineage: Eukaryota; Viridiplantae; Streptophyta; Magnoliopsida; Asterales; Asteraceae. The record is from RNAcentral.
UUAUUAUGCUCUGCUGAUAUAACUAAAUAUAAUUUUCCUCAGCAAAAUAGAAUAAGGGGACUGUUGAUACUUAGUUGAUUCUAAACAUCUAUUCUGGUAAUUUUGUAAAAGAUUUCCAAUCUUUGAAUAUAAAAAAGAAAGGAAUAUAAAAAAGAAAGGUCGAAGCAAGACUUUUUGAUUCCCUUCUACUGCUAAUGUAAUGUAUACUCAUUGGGUCUUAAAUUACAUCGGAUAGCCGGGGGAGAAUUCAACUACUAGUUAGGUAAAGUCCUUUCUAUACUGUAAUCUACAUAUAUAGACUCGCGAGAAUCUCUGAGUGUUCAGGCAUUCAAUCACUAUUAGAUUGAGAUUGGAUAGAUUUUUUAUAGAAAAAGUAAAAAAAUUUACCCCCCGUCAAGAGUAUAAUAUACUAUCUCCCAACUCCUUCAGCUAGACAAUCGCGAAGGGGUACGCAUUAUAUCAAUAUCAAAUAGGAAAUAAAAGUAUGUAAUAGAUAACAAUUGAUCUAUUUUUACUUUGAAGGGCAAAAAAAAAAGAAAGGGCUCUCUUAUUUUAUUACUGGACGUUCCAUUCCAUUAGUAACAUUCCUUUGUAGUGUCAUUGUGUAUUUUACUUGUGUUUAGUCUUUCCACAUUAGAAAUCAUAUAGGAAUUUUUGAAAUGGCUUUAUUUUAUUGGUUCAUCAAUAGUGUUUGGUCAGAAUCCCUUUUUGACUCUGGACCAUUCAUUCUACUAUUAUUAGUGAGCAAUAAUGGAA